GUCUCUGGCCAUACAAUCCUGAAUGCGCCUGAUCUCAUCUGAUCACAGAAAGUAAGCAGGGUUGGGCCUGUUCAGUAUUUGGAUGGAAGAACUC
RNAcentral lists this ribosomal RNA (94 nucleotides) under Microcebus murinus (gray mouse lemur). The record is from RNAcentral. Lineage: Eukaryota; Metazoa; Chordata; Mammalia; Primates; Cheirogaleidae.